This is a long non-coding RNA of Mustela lutreola (European mink), 896 nucleotides long. RefSeq lists it as uncharacterized. The transcript is spliced from 3 exons. The record is from RefSeq and is a predicted model, not a curated record. NCBI's taxonomy places the organism in Eukaryota, Metazoa, Chordata, Mammalia, Carnivora, Mustelidae.
ACGCAAUCACUGCGCGUCCGUUUUGCAAAAAAAGAACCUGGAGGUCGUCCUGUGUUGUGGUGGCCGCUCCGCAGCUCCUAGACUCGGAUUAGGCCCGCUGCCCAGAUGGCUGACUCUCCUUGUGGGCCAGAUGAAGUGAGUGAACGUGUUGAAGAAGCUCAUGUAGCCACUGCAGGAGGCUUCUAGAAACAGCAGGAUGCCUCCAGCCAACAGCCAAAAAGCUGGAGCCUUCAGUUCUGUGGUCCAAGGAAAUAAACUGCCCACAACCUGAGUAAGUUUGGAAGCAGAAUCUCCCCCAGUUCAUCCUCCAAGUAAGAACACACACAGCCUGGAGGAUGCCUUGUGAGAACCGAACAGAGGACCAUGUGUCUGGACUCCUAACCCACGUCCUUGAGGUCUGGCCCAGAAGAACUCUGGCUGAUGCUGUUCGCCUGAGCCACCAGCACACAGCCCUGUGUCUCAGGAGUUUUAACUGUCAGACCUUUUAUCUUCCAUUCUCUUCCCUCGAGUUUAUGGAAGUGUGAUUGGGCCUUGUGCUGAACUCACUCACCUGACUUCACUAGUGCACACUCCAAGAGGCUGGGACUUGGGCAAGGUGGGCAAGCAAAGUAAAUGUGACUGGUUGUGUGAUUUCUUGCCUUCUCUCUCUUUUAAAAAAUUUUAAAAAAAUUUUUAUUGGGUUAUGUUAGUCACCAUAAAAUACAUCAUUAGUGGGGCACCUGGGUGGCUCAGUGGGUUAAGCCUCUGCCUUCAGCUCAGGUGAUGGUCUCGGGGUCCUGGGAUCGAGUCCUGCAUCGGGCUCUCUGCUCAGUGGAGAGCCUGCUUUCCCCUCUCUCUCUGCCUGUCUCUCUGCCUACUUGUGAUUUCUGUCUGUCAAAUAAAUAAAUAAAAUCUUU